GGGAGAGGUAAGAGGUACUACAGGGUAGGAGUGAAUACUUGUAUCCCUGUGGGACCACCUGUGGCGAAGGCGUCUACCAGAACGGUUCGACGGUGAGGACGAAGCUGGGGCACGAACCGGAUUAGAUACCCGGGUAGUCCCAGCCGUAAACGAUGCUCGCUAGGUGUCAGGCAUGGCGCGACCGUGUCUGGUGCCGCAGGGAAGCCGUGAAGCGAGCCACCUGGGAAGUACGGCCGCAAGGCUGAAACUUAAAGGAAUUGGCGGGGGAGCACAACAACGGGUGGAGCCCUGCGGUUUAAUUGGACUCAACGCCGGACAACUCACCGGGGGCGACAGCAAUAUGUAGGCCAAGCUGAAGACUUUGCCUGAAUCGCUGAGAAGUGGUGCAUGG
Molecule: ribosomal RNA, 391 nt
Filed under: uncultured archaeon
Lineage: Archaea
Description: bacterial SSU rRNA
Rfam family: Archaeal small subunit ribosomal RNA
Source: RNAcentral